This 23-nucleotide microRNA is filed under the name Parasteatoda tepidariorum (common house spider). RNAcentral describes it as "pte-miR-305-3p". Its record names the gene pte-miR-305-3p. Lineage: Eukaryota; Metazoa; Arthropoda; Arachnida; Araneae; Theridiidae. The record is from miRBase by way of RNAcentral.
AGGCAUCUAAGGGAGUGCAAAUG